This 897-nucleotide ribosomal RNA is filed under the name uncultured bacterium. Its description in RNAcentral is "bacterial SSU rRNA". It matches the Rfam family "Bacterial small subunit ribosomal RNA", at positions 8 to 916 of the family's 1533-position model. The record is from RNAcentral.
AGAGUUUGAUCCUGGCUCAGGACGAACGCUGGCGGCGUGCUUAACACAUGCAAGUCGAACGGAAAGGCCCUGCUUGCAGGGUACUCGAGUGGCGAACGGGUGAGUAACACGUGGGUGAUCUGCCAUGCACUUCGGGAUAAGCCUGGGAAACUGGGUCUAAUACCGGAUAGGAGCCAUUUUUAGUGUGAUGGUUGGAAAGUUUUUUCGGUGUAGGAUGAGCUCGCGGCCUAUCAGCUUGUUGGUGGGGUAAUGGCCUACCAAGGCGGCGACGGGUAGCCGGCCUGAGAGGGUGGACGGCCACAUUGGGACUGAGAUACGGCCCAGACUCCUACGGGAGGCAGCAGUGGGGAAUAUUGCACAAUGGGCGCAAGCCUGAUGCAGCGACGCCGCGUGGGGGAUGACGGCCUUCGGGUUGUAAACUCCUUUCGCUAGGGACGAAGCUUUUUGUGACGGUACCUAGAUAAGAAGCACCGGCUAACUACGUGCCGGCAGCCGCGGUAAUACGUAGGGUGCGAGCGUUGUCCGGAAUUACUGGGCGUAAAGGGCUCGUAGGUGGUUUGUCGCGUCGUCUGUGAAAUUCCGGGGCUUAACUCCGGGCGUGCAGGCGAUACGGGCAUAACUUGAGUACUGUAGGGGUAACUGGAAUUCCUGGUGUAGCGGUGAAAUGCGCAGAUAUCAGGAGGAACACCGAUGGCGAAGGCAGGUUACUGGGCAGUUACUGACGCUGAGGAGCGAAAGCAUGGGUAGCGAACAGGAUUAGAUACCCUGGUAGUCCAUGCCGUAAACGGUGGGCGCUAGGUGUGAGGGUCUUUUCACGACUUUCGUGCCGUAGCUAACGCAUUAAGCGCCCCGCCUGGGGAGUACGGCCGCAAGGCUAAAACUCAAAGGAAUUGACGG